Amborella trichopoda is the source of this 2650-nucleotide RNA transcript. It is a transcript of the gene named Protein kinase superfamily protein, with no coding region annotated. NCBI's taxonomy places the organism in Eukaryota, Viridiplantae, Streptophyta, Magnoliopsida, Amborellales, Amborellaceae. The record is from RefSeq and is a predicted model, not a curated record.
UAACUCUUUAGCUAUCGAAAGGGAGGGAGAGCAUAUUUCUUUCAAUUUCUUCUAGAGAGAGAGAGCAUUUUCGUUCAAGUUCUCUUUUGAGAGAGAGAUCAUUUUCGUUCAAUUUCUCUUUUGAGAGAGAGAGAGAGCUUCCGUAAGUGCGUUAAGUAGUGAGAGGAGAGACAGAGUCUCUAGCUUGUGAGCCCCUUGGUUACGAAGGUUUCGGGUUUUUGGAAUCAUGUAAAAUAGUUCUAUGAAUAUUGAUGGAAUUUUCACAUCGGUUGAAAUGUGCUUCCAGGCUUGAGGGAGAAAUUUUGGCGCGAAUCGAUAGUAUUUCACCAGUAAGGGUUCUUUUGGCGACGACCAAGCACGAGUUUGAUGCAUGGAAUGGAUUUCUGAAAUGGGUUGAAGCCUAUCUUUGCCUGUAAAUUUUAGCCCAUGAGGAAUGUGCUUUCACGCCUGAAUAGGCAACAAUAUGCAGCUCUUUUUCACCAUUAUGCCUCAAUUUCAACAGGCCUGCAUUAUAUUGGUGUUUCAAAGUCUUCCCAGUUUAGACGUGGAAGAGGCAGUGAAACUCAGAGAUGGAGAAUGGAUAUGGUUCCGAUUGACUUGUGGCUUCAGCAUCAUUUUUCAACUGGGUUCACUAGCAUCCAUGGAGAAAGACCCUCAGCGGAGUAUGCAAAACUGAGGAAGGAGUCCCUCGAAAAUGAAUUUGGGCAUGCACUUGGAACAUAUAGCUCAAAGAGCUUGUCGUCUUCCUUUAAGUUUGGUCCAUUUUGGGCCCUGUAUAGGGCUGCAUUUAUUUCAUUCCAGGUGGUGAAGUUGACCGUACUGCAUUUUUUUGUUCGUGACAUCCAUGACCGUGCUGUAAAGUUUCGGGAGACUCUUAUUCGCUUGGGCCCUUUUUAUAUCAAGCUUGGGCAGGCUUUGAGCACUCGACCAGAUAUAUUACCUAAUGCUUACUGCCAGGAGCUCGCUAAGUUGCAGGACCAAAUACCACCCUUUCCAACUCAUGUUGCAAUUAAGUCUAUUGAAACUCAAUUGGGUGCCCCCGUUUCACAAAUAUUUGCUGAUAUCAGCCCUGAGCCUAUUGCAGCUGCAUCUCUGGGGCAGGUGUACAAAGCUCAUUUGCAUUCUGGAGAGCUUGUAGCUGUUAAAGUACAGAGACCGGGUAUGUCUCAUACAUUGACACUAGAUGCCUUAUUGUUUCAUAUGAUUGGUGGACAAUUGAAGCGGUUUGCAAAGGCUCGACGGGAUUUAUUUGUCGCAGUGAAUGAAAUGGUUCGCCAUAUGUUUAAAGAGAUUGAUUAUAUUUUGGAGGCACAAAAUGCCGAGCGGUUUGCUGCUCUUUAUGCUUGUUAUCCAAAAAGUGGUGAAAACAGCUAUAGGGACACAUCUACAAAGGGCACUAAAAUGAGGACUUACAUCAAAGUGCCUAAGAUAUAUUGGAACUACACUCGUAAGGCUGUCCUUACGAUGGAGUGGAUAGAUGGGAUCAAACUUACGGAUGCUGAUCGCAUGAAGAAAGCAUUCCUGGAUAGGAAGAAAUUAAUAAACCAGGGACUUUAUUGCUCUCUAAGGCAAUUGCUUGAGGAGGGCUUCUUUCAUGCUGAUCCCCAUCCUGGCAAUCUUGUUGCUUGUACUGAUGGCUCUCUCGCUUAUUUUGACUUUGGCAUGAUGGGAGACAUUCCGAGACACUAUCGAGUGGGACUUAUCCAAGUGCUCGUGCACUUCGUUAAUCAUGACUCAUUGGGUUUAGCAAAUGAUUUCCUUUCACUGGGAUUUAUCCCUGAAGGGGUGGAAAUUCAAGCUGUUGCAGAUACAUUACAAGCAUCCUUUGGUGAUGGAACUAAAGAAUCGCAGGAUUUCCAGGCUAUAAUGGAUCAGUUAUAUAAUGUGAUGUAUGACUUCAAUUUCACUUUGCCCCCUGAUUAUGCUCUUGUGAUUAGAGCAUUGGGAUCUUUGGAAGGGACUGCAAAAGUAUUGGAUCCCGAAUUCAAAGUUGUUGAGAGUGCGUAUCCUUUUAUCGUAGCCAGAUUACUUGCUGACCCAAAUCCAGAUAUGAGGAAGAUUUUGAGGGAGCUUCUUAUUCGUAAUAAUGGCUCUAUUCGGUGGAAUCGGCUUGAACGCCUAGUUAUGGCUAUUUCUGAACAAGCAUCAGAGUCAGAUGGGGAUGGAAAUGAUGCACCAGUUAGGGCAUGGAAAUCUUUUGACAUGCAUUCAGUUGUUGCCGCCACUGAAGACGUAUUUGAUUUCAUUCUUUCAGAGAAGGGUUCAAGGGUUCGGGUCUUCUUGGCUAGAGACAUUGUAAAAGCAGUGGAUGCUUUCAUAGAAGAUGAAGCCUUCUCAUCACUUUUUGCAGAGAAGAGAGAAGGGAAAACAGCAUCUGAGCACUCACAGUGUGUGUAAUCGUACGGGAGGGAGGCAUAUGGGCCGAUGUAGUAGACAUUUGAGAUAUGACACCUGUGUCGGUACCCAUACAAUACUGUUUGAGGGACAUAAAAUGACAGUCCGGAUGGUGAGUGGGGUACGUGCAUUUUUGAGAGCAGUGAAUUCGGCACCUGGGGCGUGGAUCCCAUUCAUAGUCCGUAUGGCCUUUGAACCACACGCUCAGACUUUCUUCCUCCACCUUGUGGCUUCUGUUUCCACCUCUUCAUGCCAC